RNAcentral lists this unclassified non-coding RNA (206 nucleotides) under Hevea brasiliensis (rubber tree). Lineage: Eukaryota; Viridiplantae; Streptophyta; Magnoliopsida; Malpighiales; Euphorbiaceae. The record is from RNAcentral.
AUAUAAAACCAAAAAAAAACCCACCUUACCAAAUCAAUCCUAAACCAAAAAAACAAAACUAAAAACAUCACACUACCUAACUUCAAACUAUACUACAAAACUACAAUAACCAAAACAACAUAAUACUAAUACCAAAACAAAAAUAUAAAUCAAUAAAACAAAACAAAACCCUCAAAAAUAAUACCACACAUCUACAACCAUCUAAU